UCAGAGGGAGGUAGAAUUCCACGUGUAGCAGUGAAAUGCGUAGAGAUGUGGAGGAAUACCGAUGGCGAAGGCAGCCUCCUGGGAUAACACUGACGUUCAUGCUCGAAAGCGUGGGUAGCAAACAGGAUUAGAUACCCUGGUAGUCCACGCCCUAAACGAUGUCAAUUAGCUGUUGGGCAACUUGAUUGCUUAGUAGCGUAGCUAACGCGUGAAAUUGACCGCCUGGGGAGUACGGUCGCAAGAUUAAAACUCAAAGGAAUUGACGGGGACCCGCACAAGCGGUGGAUGAUGUGGAUUAAUUCGAUGCAACGCGAAGAACCUUACCUGGUCUUGACAUGUACGGAAUCCUCCAGAGACGGAGGAGUGCCUUCGGGAGCCGUAACACAGGUGCUGCAUGGCUGUCGUCAGCUCGUGUCGUGAGAUGUUGGGUUAAGUCCCGCAACGAGCGCAACCCUUGUCAUUAGUUGCCAUCAUUAAGUUGGGCACUCUAAUGAGACUGCCGGUGACAAGCCGGAGGAAGGUGGGGAUGACGUCAAGUCCUCAUGGCCCUUAUGACCAGGGCUUCACACGUCAUACAAUGGUCGGUACAGAGGGUAGCCAAGCCGCGAGGCGGAGCCAAUCUCACAAAACCGAUCGUAGUCCGGAUUGCACUCUGCAACUCGAGUGCAUGAAGUCGGAAUCGCUAGUAAUCGCAGGUCAGCAUACUGCGGUGAAUACGUUCCCGGGUCUUGUACACACCGCCCGUCACACCAUGGGAGUGGGGGAUACCAGAAGUAGGUAGGGUAACCGCAAGGAGCCCGCUUACCACGGUAUGCUUCAUGACUGGGGUGAAGUCGUAACAAGGUAGCCGUAGGGGAACC
This 860-nucleotide ribosomal RNA is filed under the name uncultured Neisseria sp. Its description in RNAcentral is "bacterial SSU rRNA". It matches the Rfam family "Bacterial small subunit ribosomal RNA", at positions 651 to 1512 of the family's 1533-position model. The record is from RNAcentral. Lineage: Bacteria; Pseudomonadati; Pseudomonadota; Betaproteobacteria; Neisseriales; Neisseriaceae.